AUGUCACAUGGCCAUGUAGCCCCAAUGAUCAUCUGCACAGGCAGGAGAGCUGGACCCAUGUAUUCACUCCACAAGCAUUUACUGAACACUGCUAAAUGCCAGGCUCCCAUCUAUUAUAUCAGAACAGACAAUGUCCGGCCCAAAGAGAACAAGUCCAUAACCAACAGGCAGGCAUUGGCAAAGCAGGACAGUACUGACCUCUCUGAGCAACUGUCAUUUCCCAGAGCCAAAGGGAAUGAGAGGCAUGGCCCGCAGCCAUCAGGGGAAGGGAAUGAGAGGCAUGUCCCACAGCCAUCAGGGGAAGGGAAUGAGAGGCAUGUCCCACAGCCAUCAGGGGAAGGAAUUAGGGGCACGUCCCACAACCAUCAGGGGAAGGAAAUGAGGGGCAUGUCCCACAGCCAUCGGGGGAAGGGAAUGAGGGACAUAUCCCACAGCCAUCGGGGGAAGGGAAUGAGGGACAUGUCCCGCAGCCAUCGGGGGAAGGGAAUGAGGGACAUGUCCUGCAGCCAUCUGGGGAAGGGAAUGAGGGACAUGUCCCGCAGCCAGCGGGGGAAGGGAAUGAGGGACAUGUCCCGCAGCCAUCAGGGGAAGGGAAUGAGGGACAUGUCCCGCAGCCAUCAGGGGAAGGGAAUGAGGGACAUGUCCCGCAGCCAUCGGGGGAAGGGAAUGAGGGACAUGUCCCGCAGCCAUCGGGGGAAGGGAAUGAGGGACAUGUCCCACAGCCAUCAGGGGAAGGAAAUGAAGGACAAGUCCCACAGCCACCAGGAGAAGAAAAUUAGAGGCACGUCCCGCAGCCAUCAGGAAAAGGAAAUGAGGGGCAUGUCCGCCAUCUGUCAGGGGAAGGGAAUGAGGGGCAUGUCCUGCAGCCAUCAGGGGAAGGGAAUGAAGGGUCCAUCCUGCAGCUCUCUGGAGAAGGAAAUUAAAUGCAAGUCCUGCAGCCACCUGGGAAGGAGAGUAGGAGUGAGUCCUAGGUCACCAAACAGUGGGCAUCUAGCUGGUCCAGCUCCCUUCCAGUCUUCCGAGCAAGCCACAGAAGCUGGUGUCCGACAGGCCUAUUGA
This 1059-nucleotide long non-coding RNA is filed under the name Callithrix jacchus (white-tufted-ear marmoset). RNAcentral describes it as "lncRNA (ENSCJAG00000075495.1)". The record is from RNAcentral. Lineage: Eukaryota; Metazoa; Chordata; Mammalia; Primates; Cebidae.